GGUUGUGAUUCUUCUCCCGAAUGAAGCAUGGCACAGAGCACUACAAGCCUUUCCGCGAGCUCUUUGCAUGGGGACGAUGGGGCAGGUGGCCCACAAGCAGAGGAACCGCCAUCCCGGUCUCUUGCGGUGAGGACGCAGGAUGGCACCGCUUGCUCAGUCGGGAUGGACGGAGGCUUCCCAGGCGGAGGCUCUCUUCUGAGCACGAGCAGGGGGCAGCUGCUCUCGCGCGUCCUGGGGUACCAGCCUUGGCGCUUGCGCACAGCACAGCAUCUCCCCGACUCCCCGUCCCGAGCCGGGCCCCGGCUUGCACGGUACUGCAAUCUUCUUGAACAGUGAUUCCAAACCUGAUUCCCACCGCCACUCCCCCAACCCAGACAACUCUGCUCAAGGAGAGCCGCACACUUCUGAGCGGGGAAAGAGAUUCUAAACUCUCUGCAGGUCCUCCCUUCUGGAGUGACCUCUUGUAUCCAGCAGUAAACCACAGCUAAUUGGCACAACAUCCUACUCCCACCCGCCCAGGUUCCAGACUGUAGUUACAGCUGCUGAAGGCCCUCCAAGGAAAGUUGCAUGAAAAAUGUAAUGUACAUCCAACUAGGAGAUGAGUAUUUGCCCACAGCAACAGCUUCUUCCCCUUGGGAAGCUGUCCUGUCCCCCAGCCACAUGAACCUGCCAUUCACGACAUCCUGCACCUGGCUACCAGUGAGUGGCAGAAGUAGGGUUGCAAUUCCCAAGGACAUGGGAUUGGAUCAGGAAUGGGCGUGUGACUUACGCCUCGCCCAUCAAAGUUUUUCCAUGGGAUAUUGCUCACUAGAACUUGGAGAAGAGCCCUCUUUCUUCCCUGGUUGCACACUGGGAAGCUGUAGAGCUGGGACUGCCCAUAACCCUUUUCGCCAAGAUGGCCCUGAAAGCAAAGAAGGAAGCUCCCACCACUCACAAAGUUGAAGCCAAAGCAAGGCUUUGAAGGCCAAGAAGGCAAUGCCAAAAGGUGUCCAUAGCCAUCAAAAAUAAAUAAAUAAAAAAGAAGAGCUGCAUGUCACCCACGUUCCAGUGGCCAAGACACUACGCCUCUGGCAGCUGUGCAAAUAUCCUCAGAACAACACCUCCAGGAGAAACAAGCUUGACCACUGUGCCAUCACCACGUUCCCCCCGACAACUGAGUCUGCUGUGAAGAAGAUAGAAGACAACAACACACGCGUGUUCACUGUGGAUGCCAAGCCCAACAAGCCCAGAUCAAAGAGGCUGUGAAGGACUCAGUGUCAUGGAUGGGGUCAAGGUCAACGCCCUGAUCAGACCCAACAGAGAGAAGGCAGCAUGUGUUCCAUGGCUCCUGAUUAUGAUGCUUUGCAUGUUGCCAGCAAAAUGGGCAACUAAACUAAACUGAAUCCAGCUGGCUAAU
This is a non-coding RNA of Oryctolagus cuniculus (rabbit), 1396 nucleotides long. The record is from RefSeq and is a predicted model, not a curated record. NCBI's taxonomy places the organism in Eukaryota, Metazoa, Chordata, Mammalia, Lagomorpha, Leporidae.